GGGGGAUUAGCUCAGUUGGUAGAGCGCGUGCUUAGCAUGCACGAGGUCGUGGAUUCGAUUUCCACAUUCUCCA
Thalassiosira oceanica is the source of this 73-nucleotide transfer RNA. It matches the Rfam family "tRNA". Rfam says of the family: Transfer RNA (tRNA) molecules are approximately 80 nucleotides in length. Lineage: Eukaryota; Bacillariophyta; Thalassiosirophyceae; Thalassiosirales; Thalassiosiraceae. The record is from Rfam.